UGACCUCAAAUCAGGUAGGACUACCCGCUGAACUUAAGCAUAUCAAUAAGCGGAGGAAAAGAAACUAACAAGGAUUCCCCUAGUAACUGCGAGUGAAGCGGGAAAAGCUCAAAUUUAAAAUCUGGCAGUCUUUGGCUGUCCGAGUUGUAAUCUAGAGAAGUAUUAUCCGCGCUGGACCGUGUACAAGUCUCCUGGAAUGGGGCGUCAUAGAGGGUGAGAAUCCCGUCUUUGACACGGACUGCCAGGGCUUUGUGAUGUGCUCUCAAAGAGUCGAGUUGUUUGGGAAUGCAGCUCAAAAUGGGUGGUAAAUUCCAUCUAAAGCUAAAUAUUGGCGAGAGACCGAUAGCGAACAAGUACCGUGAGGGAAAGAUGAAAAGAACUUUGGAAAGAGAGUUAAACAGUACGUGAAAUUGCUGAAAGGGAAACGCUUGAAGUCAGUCGCGUUGGCUAGGGAUCAACCUUGCUUUUUUGCUUGGCUUACUUUCUGGUCGAUGGGUCAGCAUCAAUUUUGACUGAUGGAAAAAGUUCAAGGGAAUGUGGCAUCUUCGGAUGUGUUAUAGCCUUUGUUCGCAUACAUUGGUUGGGAUUGAGGAACUCAGCACGCCGCAAGGCCGGGUUUUUUU
Molecule: ribosomal RNA, 623 nt
Filed under: Laccaria amethystina
Lineage: Eukaryota; Fungi; Basidiomycota; Agaricomycetes; Agaricales; Hydnangiaceae
Description: eukaryotic LSU rRNA
Rfam family: Eukaryotic large subunit ribosomal RNA
Source: RNAcentral